UGAGCUGUGGAUAGCGGAGAAAUUCCAAUCGAACUCGGAGAUAGCUGGUUCUCCUCGAAAUAGCUUUAGGGCUAGCGUCGGGUAAUUGAGUAGUGGAGGUAGAGCACUGAAUGGGCUAGGGGCUGACAACAGUUACUGAACCCUAUCAAACUCCGAAUGCCAUAUACUUGUACCCCGGCAGUCAGACUACGAAUGAUAAGAUCCGUGGUCAAAAGGGAAACAGCCCAGACCAUCAGCUAAGGUCCCAAAGUGUAAGUUAAGUGGGAAAGGAUGUGGGAUUUCUAAGACAACUAGGAUGUUGGCUUAGAAGCAGCCACUCAUUUAAAGAGUGCGUAAUAGCUCACUAGUCGAGAGAUCCUGCGCCGAAGAUGUAACGGGGCUCAAACUUACCACCGAAGCUAUGGAUGUGUACUUUGUACACGUGGUAGAGGAGCUUUCUGUACAGGUUGAAGUCAUACCGUAAGGAGUGGUGGACAGUACAGAAGUGAGAAUGCUGGCAUAAGUAGCGAAAAACAAGUGAGAAUCUUGUUGACCGAAUAUCUAAGGUUUCCUGGGGAAGGCUCGUCCUCCCAGGGUUAGUCGGGACCUAAGCCGAGGCCGCAAGGCGUAGGUGAUGGACAACUGGUUGAUAUUCCAGUACCACCAUAAUGCGUUUGACAAAUGGGAUGACGCAGGAGG
Molecule: ribosomal RNA, 678 nt
Filed under: Clostridium botulinum D/C
Lineage: Bacteria; Bacillati; Bacillota; Clostridia; Eubacteriales; Clostridiaceae
Description: partial 23S ribosomal RNA
Rfam family: Bacterial large subunit ribosomal RNA
Source: RNAcentral